This is a long non-coding RNA of Homarus americanus (American lobster), 247 nucleotides long. RefSeq lists it as uncharacterized. NCBI's taxonomy places the organism in Eukaryota, Metazoa, Arthropoda, Malacostraca, Decapoda, Nephropidae. The transcript is spliced from 3 exons. The record is from RefSeq and is a predicted model, not a curated record.
GGGAUUUUGUGUAUACAAUACUAGUGGAGUGUCGGACUUCUAGGAAACUACCACCCAACAACAGGUGGUAGUCAUGAGUCACCCUACAGUACAGGUGGUAGUCAUGAGUCACCCUACAGUACAGGUGGUAGUCAUGAGUCACUCUACAGUACAGGUGGUAGUCAUGAGUCACUCUACAGUACAGGUGGUAGUCAAGAGAGUCAAUUGUUUGACAAAUCUACUACAGUGGUACACAUUUGAUACUAAG